RNAcentral lists this ribosomal RNA (253 nucleotides) under uncultured bacterium. RNAcentral's name for it is "partial 16S ribosomal RNA". It matches the Rfam family "Bacterial small subunit ribosomal RNA", at positions 524 to 776 of the family's 1533-position model. The record is from RNAcentral.
UACGUAGGUGGCAAGCGUUAAUCGGAAUUACUGGGCGUAAAGCGUGCGCAGGCGGUUUUGUAAGUCUGACGUGAAAUCCCCGGGCUCAACCUGGGAAUUGCGUUGGAGACUGCAAGGCUAGAAUCUGGCAGAGGGGGGUAGAAUUCCACGUGUAGCAGUGAAAUGCGUAGAGAUGUGGAGGAACACCGAUGGCGAAGGCAGCCCCCUGGGUCAAGAUUGACGCUCAUGCACGAAAGCGUGGGGAGCAAACAGG